AUCCGAGGGCGCGGCCGCGCCACGGCAGGCUCGGCGUCCCUGCAGCCGGGCCUCACAGAUACGCAUGCGCUGCCCGCCUGUCGCCUGUCGCGCGGAGGCGGGGGCACUGGUUAGGAAGGUCAGCCCGACGCCGCGGGAGCCUAGGUAGUCAUCCAUCAGAAUAAUGACCAUUAAUGCGUCAUUCCGCCGGGCCGGACUGCCCUGGACGGCGCUCUAGGCAAGCCAUCCACAGCCUGAAGUGAGAUGCCAGCCAGAGACAGCCUGAGUCCGAGACACAAGGCAGAGAGAAUGAAGUACAAAUCAUAAUGGUCAUCACUCAGUGAACACACUCCCUUAAGCACCAUCCAGGAUGUUUAGCUGGUUUUUAAAGGAGAAAGAGACCGCUGAGAGAAAACACUGGAGUGGCAGCCCAGGCAGCCGUGCCUGCAGGAGGAUGCCUCCCAGCAGAACAGAGUCCUCACUUUCUGCACUUGAACUGUGUGGUAUGCCCAGAGAUAUUUUUUUUUUACUUUAUUAGAUGCUGCAAAUCAGUCAUGAAGACAUUUUUAGCUGUGCUGAUGAAUAUACAUUUGGUGGCUAAAUUUAGGCUUUUAUUUUAAACAUUUUCUCCGUUGAAACUUGAAGGUGUUGCUUAGCUACCUUCCCCCUUUUCUCAGUGUAGACUCUGAUUUAAUGUAAUUUCUUCUGCAGGUGCUAGGAACGAACAGGCUGCUGUCAGUAAGAAAAUGAACCACCCAACUGGAAACAGGCACAAGAUAUCUUACUAGAAAAGGUCUCCAGAUGGUGGGCAAGCACAAGAAUGAAUGUCGGUGAGCUUCAGGACAGACAGGCAACUCCAGGAAGUCCAUCAGCUGACCUCGGCUCAUGUAUCAAAGUCCAAAGUUAUUCUUAAGUGAUGAAAUCAACCCCAAGCCACCCCUGUGUACGUCACUGCCUGAGCAGAGCCGCUGCCGUGGUGCACAGCCCUCCUGCAACUGGCUCUCCCCUAGGACUGCGUGAAGGCUGCCCUCAGGCUCCUGACAUCUGUGACUGUUCCUGCUCUUAGGCCCUCGGGGUAGCUAGGUUUUAAACAAAAGAUUCCCACACAUAUGACACUGCCUCUGAGUCAUCCUUGCAGCAAAUAGAACUCUUUUCCCCUGCUGACCCAACCACCGGAAGAGCCAUCUCUUCUCCAAAACCUGCAACCAGACUUGAGGCUUGAGAAGUUAUGGGAAG
Molecule: small RNA, 1215 nt
Filed under: Rattus norvegicus (Norway rat)
Lineage: Eukaryota; Metazoa; Chordata; Mammalia; Rodentia; Muridae
Description: uncharacterized LOC102552874
Source: RNAcentral